AGUGAACGCUGGCGGUAGGCCUAACACAUGCAAGUCGAACGGCAGCACAGGAGAGCUCGCUCUCUGGGUGGCGAGUGGCGGACGGGUGAGGAAUACACCGGAAUCUACUCUGUCGUGGGGGAUAACGUAGGGAAACUUACGCUAAUACCGCAUACGACCUACGGGUGAACGGAGGGGAGCUUCGGACCUUGCGCGAUUGAAUGCGCCGAUGCCGGAUUUGCUGGUUGGCGGGGUGAAGGCCCACCAAGGCGACGAUCCGUAGCUGGGCUGAGAGGAUGAUCCGCCACACUGGAACUGAGACACGGUCCAGACUCCCACGGGAGGCAGCAGUGGGGAAUAUGGGACAAUGGGCGCAAGCCUGAUCCAGCCAUACCGCGUGGGUGAAGAAGGCCUUCGGGUUGUAAAGCCCUGUUGUUGGGAAAGAAAUCCAGCUGGCUAAUACCCGGUUGGGAUGACGGUACCCAAAGAAUAAGCACCGGCUAACUUCGUGCCAGCAGCCGCAGUAA
This 506-nucleotide ribosomal RNA is filed under the name uncultured bacterium. RNAcentral describes it as "partial 16S ribosomal RNA". It matches the Rfam family "Bacterial small subunit ribosomal RNA", at positions 29 to 523 of the family's 1533-position model. The record is from RNAcentral.